UUUCUUGGGGAGACGCGUCCGACUGCUUCAUUGUGGGGGCCUCAGGAGCGGAGGAUCGGGUCCCGCCCGAGGUGACGCGUAAACCCGGACUCUCAGCAACGCGGGUAGGAAGGACCCUUGAAGUUCCGCGGCGACCACGUCGGCUGAAACCAGCAGCCCAGGACAAGUGGACCAGCCAGCAAGACCCAGACCAUCCAAACCGGCUGAUCCUACGACAGGACCCAGAUGCCAGUGAAAGUGACCACAGCCCUGCUCUAGUCACCUCGGGAGCUGACCAGUCUACGCACGGCCGAAGCUUGAGGAGACGCCAGCCCUGCUCUCGUCACCCCGGGAGCUGACCAGUCUACACACGGCCGAAGCUUCAUCAAGGAAACCCAAGGCCUCCACCCCUCGAAUUCCCAGUUCACAGACACCAGCC
RNAcentral lists this long non-coding RNA (418 nucleotides) under Pan troglodytes (chimpanzee). RNAcentral's name for it is "long non-coding RNA NONPTRT008286". Lineage: Eukaryota; Metazoa; Chordata; Mammalia; Primates; Hominidae. The record is from RNAcentral.